RNAcentral lists this ribosomal RNA (497 nucleotides) under uncultured bacterium. Its description in RNAcentral is "partial 16S ribosomal RNA". It matches the Rfam family "Bacterial small subunit ribosomal RNA", at positions 30 to 523 of the family's 1533-position model. The record is from RNAcentral.
AUUGAACGCUGGCGGCAUGCCUUACACAUGCAAGUCGAACGGUAACAGGUCUUCGGAUGCUGACGAGUGGCGAACGGGUGAGUAGUACAUCGGAACGUGCUAGUAGUGGGGGAUAACUACUCGAAAGAGUGGCUAAUACCGCAUGAGAUCUACGGAUGAAAGCAGGGGAUCGCAAGACCUUGUGCUACUAGAGCGGCCGAUGGCAGAUUAGGUAGUUGGUGGGAUAAAAGCUUACCAAGCCGACGAUCUGUAGCUGGUCUGAGAGGACGAUCAGCCACACUGGGACUGAGACACGGCCCAGACUCCUACGGGAGGCAGCAGUGGGGAAUUUUGGACAAUGGGCGAAAGCCUGAUCCAGCAAUGCCGCGUGCAGGAUGAAGGCCUUCGGGUUGUAAACUGCUUUUGUACGGAACGAAAAGCCCCGGGUUAAUACCCUGGGGUCAUGACGGUACCGUAAGAAUAAGCACCGGCUAACUGCGUGCCAGCCGCCGCCGUAA